GCGCAUGUCCGCUCCGACAUCCCGGACACUCCUACCCUGACAGAGGUGCAGUUCAGGGUCCAAGAUCUGGCGCCCGGGUUCCAAGCCCGAUUUAGGGUUCGCCAGCCCAGCAGGUGCGGAGCCAAGCUCCUCUACAGACGCGGCCCUCUCCCCACGCGAGGCCUCCAAAUCUCGCAAACUAACGGAAAUGAAGCCACGCUCCGGGCGCGGUGCCUCUGGGAAAUGUAGUCCAGCGCUCCGGACGCGGUGCCUCUGGGAAAUGUAGUCUAGCGCUUGGCUGGCCGGCCAGGACGCGGGGAGGCCCGGGCCGCUCACCCCUCGGGGGAUCGUGGGCUCGGCCUGUGGAACCUGCUUGUCUCGCUUGCCGCGCCCCGGAGGUUUCUGGGAGUGCCCGCCCGCCCGCGCUCAGUGCGCAGGCGUCAGGCGCUCAGGGCCUGCGAGAGCGAGCUCUGAGUCGUCCCAGGGUCUACCCCUGGUAGGGGAGGGGGUGGGACCCGCCGGCCAGGCAGGAUUAGUUCUCUCUUCAGCCCAGCUACUGGAUUCAGCUGUGUUAUAGUGGCUGCCCCUAAAUAG
Molecule: non-coding RNA, 573 nt
Filed under: Pongo abelii (Sumatran orangutan)
Lineage: Eukaryota; Metazoa; Chordata; Mammalia; Primates; Hominidae
Source: RNAcentral